Long non-coding RNA from Clupea harengus (Atlantic herring), 361 nucleotides. The record is from Ensembl. NCBI's taxonomy places the organism in Eukaryota, Metazoa, Chordata, Actinopteri, Clupeiformes, Clupeidae.
GUGUGUGGUUUAGUGUGUAGGUGUGGUUUAGUGUGUGUGUGUGGUUUAGUGUGUGUGUGUGGUUUAGUGUGUGUGUGGUUUAGUGUGUAGGUGUGGUUUAGUGUGUGUGUGUGUAGGUGUGGUUUAGUGUGUAGGUGUGGUUUAGUGUGUGUGUGUGGUUUAGUGUGUGUGUAGGUGUGGUUUAGUGUGUGUGUGUGUGUGUGAGGUGUGGUUUAGUGUGUGUGUAGGUGUGGUUUAGUGUGUGUGUGUGGUGUGGUUUAGUGUGUGUGUGUGUGGUUUAGUGUGUGUGUGUGGUUUAGUGUGUGUGUGUAGGUGUGGUUUAGUGUGUGUGUGUGUGGUUUAGUGUGUAGGUGUGGUUUAG